Molecule: unclassified non-coding RNA, 263 nt
Filed under: Hevea brasiliensis (rubber tree)
Lineage: Eukaryota; Viridiplantae; Streptophyta; Magnoliopsida; Malpighiales; Euphorbiaceae
Source: RNAcentral
UUGUCAUUAGUAAAGAUGGUGCUAGCAAGAAAAAGGAAGUGACAGAUAAGGGGAAGUUCAGUCCUGGCGUUUAAGUGUCUCCAACUGGUAUUUCUUGGAAAAAAAAGAAUCCAACUUGAACAUGUACUAUAUGUAGUGCAAUAUAUUAGCCAAUUUGUAAUUUUGAUGCAGAAAGCCAGUGCUCUCUUGUGUUAUUUUAAACAACUGAAGGCGAAAGAGAUCCCAAAAUCUAAUAAAAUUGAUGGAGGUUUUGUUUCUCAAAA